AGAAAUAUGUCUGACAAAAGAAUUACUUUGAUAGAGUA
This 38-nucleotide transfer RNA is filed under the name Panthera tigris (tiger). RNAcentral's name for it is "partial tRNA-Ile". Lineage: Eukaryota; Metazoa; Chordata; Mammalia; Carnivora; Felidae. The record is from RNAcentral.